This 23-nucleotide transfer RNA is filed under the name Syzygiella campanulata. RNAcentral's name for it is "partial tRNA-Phe". The record is from RNAcentral. Lineage: Eukaryota; Viridiplantae; Streptophyta; Jungermanniopsida; Jungermanniales; Adelanthaceae.
GCCGGGAUAGUUCAGUCGUACGA